This is a non-coding RNA of Pelobates cultripes (western spadefoot toad), 316 nucleotides long. Lineage: Eukaryota; Metazoa; Chordata; Amphibia; Anura; Pelobatidae. The record is from the annotation of a GenBank genome assembly.
UUCAAACACAGCCCUGGCCAAUCAGCAUCUCCUCAUAGAGAUGAAUUGAAUCAAUGAAUCUCUAUGAGGAAAGUUCAGUGUCUGCAUGCAGAGGGAGGAGAUACUGAAUGUUUGGAUGCAUUUUAGGCAGCCAUGACCCAGGAAGGAUCUCUAACAGCCAUCUGAGAAGUGGCCAGUGAAGUUAUCACUAGGCUGUAAUGUAAACACUGCAUUUUCUCUGAAAAGACAGUGUUUACAGCAAAAGGCCUGAAGGUAAUGAUUCUACUCACCAGAACAAAUUCAAUAAGUUGUAGUUGUUCCGGUAACUAUAGUGUCC